This 426-nucleotide ribosomal RNA is filed under the name Conothele sp. MYG295. Its description in RNAcentral is "partial 16S ribosomal RNA". It matches the Rfam family "Archaeal large subunit ribosomal RNA", at positions 1926 to 2666 of the family's 2987-position model. The record is from RNAcentral. Lineage: Eukaryota; Metazoa; Arthropoda; Arachnida; Araneae; Ctenizidae.
UGAUUGCUUCAUAAUCAGUAAGGCCUGCUCAAUGAAUUUUAAAUAGCCGCGAUUUACGUGCUAAGGUAGCAUAAUAAAUUGCCUUUUAAUUGAAGGCUAGAAUGAAAGGCUCCACAAAUAAAAUUCUUUAUUGACUAUAUUUCUUAAAAUUAAUCUAUAAAUAAAAAAGUUUAUAUAAAAAAAGGGGACGACAAGACCCUAUCGAGCUUAACUCUUAGUUUCACUGGGGAGGUGAAGAAAAAAAUUCUUUUUAUUUUCUAAAAAAGAAUAAUUCAGAAAGAACCUUGAACUAGUUACCGUAGGGAUAACAGCACAAUUAAUUUUAGGAGACCUUAUCUUAAAACUAGAUUAUGACCUCGAUGUUGAAUUAAAGUACCUUUAGGAGAAGAAGCUUUAUAGGAAAGUCUGUUCGACUUUUAAAACUUU